UACGAAGGGGGCUAGCGUUGUUCGGAAUUACUGGGCGUAAAGGGCGCGUAGGCGGAUUGAUCAGUUUGGUGUGAAAGCCCGGGGCUCAACCUCGGAACUGCAUCCAAAACUGAUUCACUAGAGUACGAUAGAGGGAGGUAGAAUUUCCUGUGUAGCGGUGAAAUGCGUAGAUAUAGGAAGGAAUACCGAUGGCGAAGGCGGCUCACUGGCUCGAUACUGACGCUGAGGUGCGAAAGUGUGGGGAGCAAACAGG
This 253-nucleotide ribosomal RNA is filed under the name uncultured bacterium. RNAcentral's name for it is "partial 16S ribosomal RNA". It matches the Rfam family "Bacterial small subunit ribosomal RNA", at positions 524 to 776 of the family's 1533-position model. The record is from RNAcentral.